AACGGGGGGGGCAGGUGUUGCUCCACAUGACUGGGUGUAAAGGGUUCGUAGGCGGUCCUUUCAGUGGAAUAUGAAAUCCUAGGGCUCAACUUUAGGGCUGUAUUCCAUACAAUUGGACUUGAGUUUAGUAGAGGGGGGCAGUACGUUCGGUGUAGAGGUAGAAUUCGGUGAUACUGGACGGACUCACAGAGGCGAGGGCGGCCACCUGGGCUAAAACUGACGCUGAGGAACAAAAGCGUGGGGAUCAAACAGG
This 253-nucleotide ribosomal RNA is filed under the name uncultured bacterium. RNAcentral describes it as "partial 16S ribosomal RNA". It matches the Rfam family "Bacterial small subunit ribosomal RNA", at positions 524 to 776 of the family's 1533-position model. The record is from RNAcentral.